This 81-nucleotide small nucleolar RNA is filed under the name Acanthisitta chloris (rifleman). Its description in RNAcentral is "Small nucleolar RNA SNORD103/SNORD85". It matches the Rfam family "Small nucleolar RNA SNORD103/SNORD85". From Rfam's summary of the family: This family includes the snoRNAs SNORD103 (U103) and SNORD85 (HBII-251) . The members of this family belong to the C/D class of snoRNAs which contain the C (UGAUGA) and D (CUGA) box motifs. In the human genome, there are two identical copies of SNORD103 (SNORD103A and SNORD103B) which share the same host gene with SNORD85. Lineage: Eukaryota; Metazoa; Chordata; Aves; Passeriformes; Acanthisittidae. The record is from Rfam by way of RNAcentral.
GCUGGCGAUGACGAUGCUCUUGCCCUCUCUGAGCAGCUGUGGCUGAUGAGAGCAGUUGUAGCGCUCUGGAGCUGAGCCAGC